Molecule: ribosomal RNA, 455 nt
Filed under: Hovahydrus sinapi
Lineage: Eukaryota; Metazoa; Arthropoda; Insecta; Coleoptera; Dytiscidae
Description: partial 16S ribosomal RNA
Rfam family: Bacterial large subunit ribosomal RNA
Source: RNAcentral
AACAAAAACAUGUCCUUUAGAUUUAUAAUUUAAGGUCUAAUCUGCCCACUGAUUAAUUAAAUGGCCGCAGUAAUUUGACUGUGCAAAGGUAGCAUAAUCAUUAGUUUUUUAAUUAAAAGCUUGUAUGAAUGAUUGGACGAGAUAAAAUCUGUCUCUUAAUUAAUUUAGAAUUUAAUUUUUAAGUUAAAAAGCUUAAAUUUUUAUAAAAGACGAGAAGACCCUAUAGAUCUUUAUUUAUUUAUUUUAUAGUUUAUUUGAUGAUUAAUUUAUUUAAUAUAAAAUUAUAAAUUUUAUUGGGGUAAUAAAAAGAUUAAAUAAAUUCUUUUUUAUAUAAACAAUAAUAAUUGAUUUUGUGAUCCAUAAAUAAUGAUUAUAAGAUUAAGUUACCUUAGGGAUAACAGCGUAAUUUUUUUAAAGAGUUCAUAUCGAUAAAAAAGUUUGCGACCUCGAUGUUG